UCAGGUACCAGAGCUCAGAGGAGCUUGAGCUCUUUAAGGGAAACUCCUCCCUUAUUCCCAUCCACCACCACAGCAUCAUGUCUUGCUGCAGCUACUGGCAUAUCCUGUCCAACCCAUCCCCCAAUAUGACUGCAUUACAAACAAGGCUAGAAAGACAACAACAAAAUUUAAGGACUGCACUGAAGAUGCGCAGGGAAAAAAAACACCCAUCACCAAACAAACAAAGAAAGGACACACACUUUCAGCUGUAGGAAGAGCAGCGUGCAGACCACGAAGGGCAUUCCUGGAAGGACCUCCAGGCAGAGAUGGCCGUGUUUCAGCACGUGCAAUUGCAGAACUCGUGGCUGAACCGACUCCGCUGCACAGAAGUGAAGGGAUUCCCUCCACCAGUGUGUCUCCAGCACACGAGUCCCUGCUGUCACAUCAAGGUGGCCCAGGUGAGCCAAACAGAAAGGUGGGUGUAUAACACAGGGAACCACUGUCAUUUUCUGAGGCCAAACCAUCAGGGUCCUUUGGUCUGGUACUUGCACUGUGGUCUGGCAAAGAGCAGCGUUAGCAUAGUGAGCAAGCCCUUGUGGGGUCACUAAGAGAGAAGCUUCUGCAAAACUUUCCUGAAUAGAUUGAGAGUUUUGGGGGUUUUUUUUCCAUACAAUAGUUAUAAAUAGCACUUACCCCUUUCUGAAGGCUUCUGUUCUUCCAAGCCAAAUAAAAAUUCAUAUUUGGCCUUGGCAACAUUCUGGGCGUGAGCUGAUACAUCAUUAUCCCACACAAGUGCUUCUGCCUGUAGAGUCAAAAUAAAUAAAGCUUAUCUACCUUUUGGUGAAAAAACAGCAGCAGGAACGUGAAAUCCUUCCAGGUGCGCUCUCAGGAAGGAUUUUCAAAGUAUUCAUUUAACUCUGUCACCACCAAGAUCAUCCAGAGCAGACAUGCGCCAACUCAGAAUGCUUUUGAAGAGCUUGCCUGUCUUUGAACCCAAGCAUUUCAGCAUUAAGCAGUGAUGUCAGAGCACCCAACCACUUAUAUCUUUAGCAGGCUUACCCACUGCAAGGGCAGCAGCACUAGCCAACUGUGUCAGUAAUACCAGUUAGGGUUAAAAAUGUCAAGGGAGUAGUAUCAGAAAUAGCAAAUUUGAAUAUGUAUGUCACAAAACUGGGACCCAUGAGAAAACCAUAAAUGGGGCAGGCUGUUUCUUUGAAGAGAGGCUGGGGCAGAGAAAGGGAGGAAGGAAAAAGGGCUACAGCAAGGAUGAUCAAAAAUGGGAAAAAGGGAUAAGGUAUGCAAACGUGUGGGGAGUACCGUCUAAGGGUCCCUGUUGGACAGCCCACGCCUGACUGCCGCGGUCUAGCUCAGGACAAUAGCCCAACCUGGUUUUAUAACCACACAAGUCAAACCUGCUUAUCUGGCCAGGAGGCAGGGAGGAGGCACAGAGUGGUGAAGCCAGCUAGUCCUGGGCGGGGAUGGAUGGACAGAUGAAUUGAGCAACCCCUGCCCACCCAGGUCUGGUGCCACCAGCACCUUCACCCUGCUCCCUCCUUGUUAAGAAGCAGUUUGAGAGAGUAAAGGUCCAGUUUCUCAGAGGAGAUAAAGGCUGCAGGACUAAGAUCAAAAUACCUUUCUGAACAGGUGGGGACAAAUCAAAUCCCCAAGAUAAAGCACACACCAGCAAUAAGCUGUAGUGCAAAAACUAUCUGCAGUCGGCAUUAAGUGUCUCCCCAGCUGGGCAAGACGGAGCCCGUAAUUCUUCCGUCUGAAGUGACAGAUGAAAUAAAUCAUUAACUCCGCAAAUUCUUCAGUAAACUUUAUAUUCACGCUCUAUGUUUGAGGCGCUCAACUGUUGCAGCAUAGCAAGUCGUUGCAUCGUUCAUACUGAAGACCUGAGCUUACAAAAAUAUUCUUAAAAAAAGAAGUCAGAUGGAACAUUCUGCCCCCCCAGGACAACAAUAACUUUUAUGCAUUUCUAUCAAAUACCUUAGGAGAAGCGUCAUCUACAAACAUAAAUUCAAAGUACAGGGGACACGUAAUUCACAGGUCAAGGCCCUUUAAUCAGCAAUGGAUGAAAUCCAUACAUUCUUCCACCUCUCCAACAAUUACAUUUUCUUCCACGAGCAUAUUGGCAAAUAGCUAUCUUGCCCCAUGCCCUUGAACGGUUUUGCUCCAGGUUUUCCUGGCCUUUUACUCCAUUUCUACUCCUGCCUUUCUGCACUGCACUAGUUCUGCAGGAUGUAGUCCAACACCACUCUGUCUGAAAUAGGCAGCAGAUCUUACACAGGGGUCUUGGACAGAUUUAUUUGGACCGUUCACUGGUCCAACUACUCAUCACUAGAGCUCUGAGUACUUUGAUGGACGUGCUAACACUAGGCUACCAAAUCCUUUGGAAAAAAUGUGGUGAAACAGAUGAAGGGUUUUCUAGCACAAAGAUGACUUCCAUGAGCAAGACAAAAUGAGCUUGGAAAAAGCCUCCAUGUCUCUCCUGCUUUUACAGGGCUGCAUUCAUUCACAGGAAGGGAGGCGUGAAGGGCUAGAAGAGGAAUAGCUGGACCCAGAGCUCACACAGGAGAAGGCUCUUGUCUGCAACAGCUUGGACAGGAGUAGCUUACAGAGCCAGACAAAAAUUCAACCUACCCAGAUAUGGAUGUGAAGGGAUGGGACGGCUAAAAACUGGCUGGUGCCAAAUCCCAGUCACGGAUGAAUGAAAUGGAAAAUAAAAUGAACAGAAGAGUCCAGUUCCUGAGCAGUCAGGAAUUUCUGAUCUAUGCACCUCUGGGACACAGUAUUUCCAUACCUCAGCCUUGCUUUUUGAGACUUCACAGACAUCUGCUGCAGUGAACAUCCCUGCCAGCAAACACAUGUUCCAAGGGUCUGUAUUUGCCUGCACCUCAUUGUAAAGCAAUGGAGAAGAGUCUGGUUCACAGCACCCUCUGCAUUGCCCAACAACAGGCAGAAAUAAGUUGUUAGAUUAAUGGGGUUUCCAUGUACUGGGUAGCAUUUAUCAGAACUAGGUGCAUAAAGAGAGGCUGCAAGACCCUUAUCUUGGCAUCUGAAAGGGAUAACUUGAUUUUCAGAAGUGCUCAGCACCACUGAUGAGAAUUACAGACACUGGCUUGUGUAUGGGAACAGCUGAACUUAACAUCUAUUUAGGCUGUCAGAGCACUAAAAGGAACUGUGUAAAGAAACUCCAGAUCCAGGCUUAAGGAAAAAGUUUAUCAUAUUUCAUCCAAAAAAGAAAUAUUAAAAAAAGAACACAAGAGAGGGAGAGAACAAAGACACUGAGUUCAGAGCUCGAUUUUAAGACUGCUGAUUUACCAGUGUUCAAAUCAAGAGUGUGCUCUCCUUUCCUUCUUUCAAUCCACCACUCACCCAAGCCUUGCAGAGGUCAGCAUGCCCUGAAACCAGGAUCCCAGAAAAGGCCUGGACAAACAUUCAUGGUGCUUUCCAAACUGCAUUAGCAAAGAUUAAAUACAAGCAAGAUUGAAAGGGAUAUAAAACUCCUGCUUAAGCCUUCUCUCUCAGCUCAAGGGCAAAGAAAUCUGCAUCCAGGUCAUCUCAUUUCAUAAUUGCUUCCCUCAGAGGGCUUUAACCACCACCUUUGACGCAUCUGGUCUUUGUCACUCCUGGAGAGGGUGACACUCAGAGCAUCAAUCCCCUUAAAUCAGCCCAGCUGUACAUACAACAUAUCUCAUGAGCCACAUACCCACUAUUUUUCAGUCUGAUUAUGGUCUGGGCAGAGAGGCAUCAAGCUCCUGCCCAUUUAUGCAUCACUCUUGCAGUGCUUUCUGCCUGUUUGAACAUGUUUCAUAAGCCUACUUCCCUCCGUCACAGUUCCUGGUCGGGAGUUGGGGCAGCUGCAUUUGCCUCUCAGUGACUUUUAGAUAACAUUUAUGAGGCUGCAUUAGUUUGUCCUUGGCAGCCCUCACCCCUCAGACCUCCUGCCAACACACCAGACCAGUUUCUGCUGACCCUGCAGAAGGCACUGGCAUGGUCAUUACAGGUGUCCCACCUUGCUGGCUUUCUGUUCCUUGCUGAGGGAGCAGAGAUUGUUCAGGAUAUGGCACUCAUGGUGGUUUCAGGCUAGUACAAGAAGUGAAGUUGCUGAAUCCAUGUCCAGCAGGAGCUGCCAAGGACGAUAUGUCAGCCCAGCUGCCUCUGCUCCGCUCUGCUGUCUGGAGGUGUGAACUGGGGCUGCGGGGCAACAUCUGCAAGGAGAAACUGUUCCCACAGUUCACCCCUGAGAGGUGCCUUUAGGCAGGCCCCCGACAAGAGCUGCUGCCUCUCUUGAAGCACAGUUUCUCUCUCAUUUCAGCUUCAGUCAUGAGCUCCCCUCAAAAUGCCCUCCCAAAAAUCUCAGUGGUUUUUAGAUAAGCACAGUGAGUCAUAAAAGCCUGAAGAAAAUGCUUCUCCUUUCUCCAUGGAAGAAAAGCACUGAAGCAUCCUCUUUUGAAUUUCACUGAGAUUCUGGUUGGGGCCUUUUUUGGUACAAACUGUUUUCUUCUUGGAGCCUUUUUUUUUUUUUCCAUACCUACAUGUCAGAGAGCAUUAAAUGAAGAGUAUCAAAGUCUUGUUCUCUCACCACCAUUUGCAGCUGAGCUUGACAGGAGAGCUAGGCUCCAUCUCAGUGGAAGGGGAUGACAUUGUCCAUGGCUGCUGUGACAAGGAACAGGUCAGUCUGAGCACAAGGAGCCAGUUUGAACCCGUGCCUCCUGAAGUAUUCACACUUAAGGUCAUAUGUUUUCUUCAAAAAAGCCUAAUAAGGAGGAGUUUUUCAAAGGAGCAGAUAAUUAAAUUGCAAAUGUCAGUUUGGAGUUUCUCAGACUCCCUCAGAGGACAGAUGCUGUCCAAAUAGACUGAAUUCUUGCAGGCGACCCAUGCUUGAGGAACAGCAGAAUGGGAUGGGUGCUCAAGCACGAGUCUUCAGGGAGCGAGAGCUAGCCAAUAUUCUGGACAGCAGAAUAUGCUAAAGGAAAACAUCAGUAGGAAGUGGCCUAACAACCUUUCACAGAGGGCUGUUAGCUGGGACAGAGAGGUCAAAGCGUCCUCAGGGAGACCCCUACAAGCUUGCUUAAUAAAACCCAGCCACCCCAUCCCCAGAAAGAAACAUUGCUGGAAUUCUUCUAGGCUUAUUGGAAAAUGUGGAGGGACUGGCCAGUUAGGGUGUGGGUCUCCACAGCUAAGCCAUACCAUGAAGAAGUCUCGGGGGAGCCCCAGUUUUACACAUUUUGCAUGUGCACAGCUGCUUUUUCCAGAGCUGAGUGCCUCCCCCCUUGGCCACACCACUGCUGGAUGUCAGCUCCCUGCCAGCAGGCAACAGCCCCUGCACUGGCAGCACAGUGCUUCCUGGAGGUUUCAUUGAGGCUAGCGGGGAGAUGCUGCAGUGGCUGCAACAGAGCUGUUGGCACUACUCAAGGAAGCAGAAAAAAAGCCUUGCAGGAUGCCUGAAAAGCACAGUCUACUACAGAGAACUUCACAGUCGCACCCGCAGCAUUUCUAAUCCCAGGCUGUGCUUGCUCCAUUCUCAUUGCUUCAUCAGCAUCUCUGGUGGCAAAAAAACCAAGUGCCUCUCAGCAGCCUGUCAUACACCUCAGUACAGUGAGUUUAUGCUCUCCAGAGGAGUGUAAACUUGUACCUUCAUCUUGUCUUUUGCACCCCAAAGUCUCCCCAGAGACUGACAGAAAUACAGUAACUGGUAAUGGAGCUAGCUUCAAAAAAAAAAAAAAAAAAGGGGCGGGGGCAGGAAUGAUGGAUAGAAGGGUUCUACAGAUUUAAAACCUUCUCCAGCAAGUUCCCAGCCGAACAAAAGUACUCUAUGAGUCAAGCUACAGUGCCAUGGUCAAGUUUUUAUGGAAUCAUGCAUAGAGAGCUCUGCCUCUCCUGUCACACACGGACAACCCCCCAACAGUGGCCAACCCUUUUGUUAAGCACCAUUAUCAUUCCUGUGUAUCAUUCAGUAGCAAGCCUCACUGCUUUUGACAGGUCAUAGUAAUUGCCCUGAAAAGACUAUUUCUGUUAAGCUUGUCUUAAAUCACUUUCCUAAGUAACAGGAUGAAAUUCAGAAAGCCGGCAUUAAAAUAAACUUGCUGGCUGGUGAAACCUAGUGCACACUGACAGCACAGGGACACUGUGGGUGCUUUUUCUGUGGGACUUCAAAAAAAAUAAGGACUGGUAGCAGAGGUUUGUAGUUUUUAAUUGCAUAUGACCUCAUGCACCACAUUUGUGUUUUCCUCACACCUCCCCACCACUACUAUACAUGCUUGCAAUUCUGGAAUUGAAGCAUUAGCAAAAUAGAUUAAGACUCGAAAGAACAGGAUUUUUGCAUGGCUAAACCUCAGCUGGACCUGCCAAAACUUAAUGCUAGCCAAAGUUUUGGAAGAGAUCUCAGCCUGGGUUUUAAACUAAUUCCUAACUAUCAGAAGUUGCAGGGAGAUAUGUAUAGAGCCAGAAGGUGGGGGAGGAAAGAAAGGGCUUGUAUGAGAACACUGCCUAUAGCCGUUGUCCAGCAGAGAAGUCUGGAUUCUAGAGAGGGAUAACAAACUCAUCUAAGACUUUUCAGCUACAGGAAGGAGGCAACUGAGCGACAUGUGGCAGAGGUGCCUGCAAAGGGCCUGAAAAAGACAAAGAGCAGUCGAUAAUUCACCACGUUUUUUAAUGCAACACCCAGAGUACAACAAAAUGAGGUAUUAGGAGUCAGCAUCACACCAAACAGGAGAUAGUUCCUCAUACAGUUUGUAGUCAAAACCACCAACCUCCUUGCAAAGCAAUGCCACAGAAACUAAAACACUAUGGGACCCAACAAGGAGGGUGAACAAGCUCAAGUGACACAAAUCCACAACAAUACGUAGAAAUUGCACCCUUCUCAUGAAUCUCCAAGCUAAACACUUUCUAGGCAUCUGCAACGUCAUACAUUGUCCUGGGCUAAAGUGACCUCGGGAUGUGUUUACCGGGAGCAGGCUCGCAGUAAGCAAUCAGGCUGGAGAGAGCAAAACUGAAAGGGUGCAGAUACUAUCAGAGCUGCUCUCCCUGCUCAAAGGCAGACUUCACAAAAGUUCAGUGUCUAAAGAGAGGCUCAAUUCAAGAAUAAACUGCUUAGAAAAAAGCAUGGAAACAGUGACCAAAAAAAAUAAAAUAAAAAAAAAAAGGAUGCCUUAGCACUACUGUCAAGCAGUUGCAGGUGAAAUUUGUUUCCAGACUGGUUGCCUUGUUGUACACUUGCACUUCGAGUUUUUCUCCCCUUAAAGAAAAUGUUUGGUUUGUUGUUUGGUUGAAGCUGUUAGGAAGCAGUCAGCUGUUAUACAGAAUUAAAUGCUUUUUAUUAUGCAAAGGCUGAUGCUGUCUGAGCUGUAACUGCAUGAAUGUGAACAGCAUGUUAAUUGAAAGUCUGUAUGAUUACACCUUACUAUUAAAGGUCACUCAGCAUUUUGUGUUUGCCAAGUCAGUGAUUUUUGAUGCGUGCUGUGUGGA
Pseudopipra pipra is the source of this 7452-nucleotide long non-coding RNA. RefSeq lists it as uncharacterized. NCBI's taxonomy places the organism in Eukaryota, Metazoa, Chordata, Aves, Passeriformes, Pipridae. The record is from RefSeq and is a predicted model, not a curated record. The transcript has 2 exons.